Molecule: microRNA precursor, 104 nt
Filed under: Pyrus pyrifolia
Lineage: Eukaryota; Viridiplantae; Streptophyta; Magnoliopsida; Rosales; Rosaceae
Source: RNAcentral
AAAUUUGUAAACAAAAUUUUGCAAACUAAAUGACAUGGAAGUUGAUGAUUGACUCAUUCUUAUUGAUGACACAUCGUUUAGUUUGCAAAAUUUGUCUACAAAUU